Molecule: small RNA, 567 nt
Filed under: Pan troglodytes (chimpanzee)
Lineage: Eukaryota; Metazoa; Chordata; Mammalia; Primates; Hominidae
Description: processed transcript
Source: RNAcentral
AUUUUCCUUCCUCUUCCAAGUGCUGGCUGUUUGUCUGCCUGUACCCAGUAGGAUGGGGUUCUGCUGGGAGCUGUCGGUGCCUAUGACUGGAACGGAGCUGUGCUAAAGGAGACGAGUGCCGGGAAGGUCAUUCCUCUCCGUGAGUCCUACCUGAAAGAGUUCCCCGAGGAGCUCAAGAACCAUGGUGCAUACCUGGGCAGGGGCGGGUGUACGUGGCCGGAGCCCCCCGGUUCAACCACACGGGCAAGGUCAUCCUGUUCACCAUGCACAACAACCGGAGCCUCACCAUCCACCAGGCUCUGCGGGGCCAGCAGAUAGGCUCUUACUUUGGGAGUGAAAUCACCUCGGUGGACAUCGACGGCGACGGCGUGACUGAUGUCCUGCUGGUGGGCGCACCCAUGUACUUCAACGAGGGCCGUGAGCGAGGCAAGGUGUACGUCUAUGAGCUGAGACAGAACCGGUUUGUUUAUGACGGAACGCUAAAGGAUUCACACAGUUACCAGAAUGCCCGAUUUGGGUCCUCCAUUGCCUCAGUUCGAGACCUCAACCAGGAUUCCUACAAUGACG